AAAUCUGGUUGAUCCUGCCAGAGGCGACCGCUAUUGGAGUUCGAUUAAGCCAUGCGAGUAGAAAGAAAUUAGAUUCUUUGCAUACUGCUCAGUAACACGUGGAUAACCUGCCCUACACUGGGGGAUAAUCUCGGGAAACUGAGAAUAAUACCCCAUAGAUCACAACGCCUGGAACGGUGUGUGGUUGAAAGCUCAGGCGGUGUAGGAUGGGUCUGCGGCGUAUCAGGUUGUAGGGGGUGUAAUGGACCUCCUAGCCAUCGACGCGUACGGGUUGUGGGAGCAAUAGCCCGGAGACGGAUUCUGAGACACGAAUCCGGACCCUACGGGGUGCAGCAGGCGCGAAAACUUCACACUGCAGG
This 359-nucleotide ribosomal RNA is filed under the name Candidatus Poseidoniales archaeon. Its description in RNAcentral is "bacterial SSU rRNA". It matches the Rfam family "Archaeal small subunit ribosomal RNA", at positions 1 to 361 of the family's 1478-position model. Lineage: Archaea; Methanobacteriati; Thermoplasmatota; Candidatus Poseidoniia; Candidatus Poseidoniales. The record is from RNAcentral.